Molecule: long non-coding RNA, 602 nt
Filed under: Triticum aestivum (bread wheat)
Lineage: Eukaryota; Viridiplantae; Streptophyta; Magnoliopsida; Poales; Poaceae
Description: long non-coding RNA (TAES_LNC014351)
Source: RNAcentral
AAACAACCAAUAUAGAAAAAAUAUGCUAAUGAUUAUAAUCCUCCAAAAUUCCUAUGAAAGACCUUUGAAUCAAAGGUGCCCUUAACAUUUGUAGUCAAAUAUGUGGUGAAAAUUUAACCCAAAAUACAAUGGAAACUAAUAAACCUUUGAAUACAAUAAAAAGUAGUAAAAAAUGUUUAGGGAAAAAUCCUAUAGGAUUCAAUCAUAUGAAUCAAACAACCAAUAUAGAAAAAAAAAUGCUAAUGAUUAUAAUCCUCGAAAAUUCCUAUGAAAAACCUUUGAAUCAAAGGUGCCCUUAACAUUUGUAGUCAAAUACGUGGUGAAAGUUUAACCCAAAAUACAAUGGAAACUAAUAAACGCAGACGGAGGUAGUAGUGCUGUUUCAAAAUAUUCUGAAUCAAAGAAUGAGCGGGUUGUGCCUCUCAUCCUUGUAAUUUUCAAAGAGAAAUCGAAUCUAGCGUCUACGGGGAAAGCUUCGCGUCUCCCUCUUUAAAAAGCUCCCCCCGUACGCAGCACCAGUCUCACUCUCACAGAAAGGAAACCAUCGUCCAGGCACGCAGGCGAGCGAUGGCGAGCCUGAGCGUGCCUCCGGUGCUCACGCC